UACGUAGGGUGCGAGCGUUGUCCGGAAUUAUUGGGCGUAAAGAGCUUGUAGGCGGUCUGUCGCGUCUGCUGUGAAAAUCCGGGGCUCAACCCCGGACUUGCAGUGGGUACGGGCAGACUAGAGUGUGGUAGGGGAGACUGGAAUUCCCGGUGUAGCGGUGAAAUGCGCAGAUAUCAGGAGGAACACCGGUGGCGAAGGCGGAUCUCUGGGCCUUACCUGACGCUGAGGCGCGAAAGCGUGGGGAGCGAACAGG
RNAcentral lists this ribosomal RNA (253 nucleotides) under uncultured bacterium. Its description in RNAcentral is "partial 16S ribosomal RNA". It matches the Rfam family "Bacterial small subunit ribosomal RNA", at positions 524 to 776 of the family's 1533-position model. The record is from RNAcentral.